AGCGAACGCUGGCGGCAGGCCUAACACAUGCAAGUCGAGCGCCGUAGCAAUACGGAGCGGCAGACGGGUGAGUAACGCGUGGGAACGUGCCCUUUAGUUCGGAAUAACCCAGGGAAACUUGGGCUAAUACCGGAUACGCCCUUCGGGGGAAAGAUUUAUCGCUAAAGGAUCGGCCCGCGUAAGAUUAGCUAGUUGGUGAGGUAACGGCUCACCAAGGCUAUGAUCUUUAGCUGUUCUGAGAGGAAGAUCAGCCACACUGGGACUGAGACACGGCCCAGACUCCUACGGGAGGCAGCAGUGGGGAAUAUUGGACAAUGGGCGCAAGCCUGAUCCAGCCAUGCCGCGUGAGUGAUGAAGGCCUUAGGGUUGUAAGGCUCUUUUACCAGGGAAGAUAAUGACGGUACCUGGAGAAUAAGCCCCGGCUAACUUCGUGCCAGCCGCCGCGGUAA
This 449-nucleotide ribosomal RNA is filed under the name uncultured bacterium. RNAcentral's name for it is "partial 16S ribosomal RNA". It matches the Rfam family "Bacterial small subunit ribosomal RNA", at positions 29 to 523 of the family's 1533-position model. The record is from RNAcentral.